Molecule: transfer RNA, 85 nt
Filed under: Felis catus (domestic cat)
Lineage: Eukaryota; Metazoa; Chordata; Mammalia; Carnivora; Felidae
Rfam family: tRNA
About the family: Transfer RNA (tRNA) molecules are approximately 80 nucleotides in length. Their secondary structure includes four short double-helical elements and three loops (D, anti-codon, and T loops). Further hydrogen bonds mediate the characteristic L-shaped molecular structure. tRNAs have two regions of fundamental functional importance: the anti-codon, which is responsible for specific mRNA codon recognition, and the 3' end, to which the tRNAs corresponding amino acid is attached (by aminoacyl-tRNA synthetases). tRNAs cope with the degeneracy of the genetic code in two manners: having more than one tRNA (with a specific anti-codon) for a particular amino acid; and 'wobble' base-pairing, i.e. permitting non-standard base-pairing at the 3rd anti-codon position.
Source: Rfam by way of RNAcentral
GCCUGGGUGGCUCAGUCGGUUAAGCGUCCGACUUUGGCUCAGGCCCUGAUCUCACAGUUCGUGGGUUCGAGCCCCACAUCAGGCU